GCCUAGUUAAUUCAGUGGAAGAAUGCUGUCUUGGUACGACAGUCGUCGAGAGUUCGAUUCUCUCACUAGGCUC
RNAcentral lists this transfer RNA (73 nucleotides) under Streptomyces phage Coruscant. Its description in RNAcentral is "tRNA-Thr". It matches the Rfam family "tRNA". Rfam says of the family: Transfer RNA (tRNA) molecules are approximately 80 nucleotides in length. Their secondary structure includes four short double-helical elements and three loops (D, anti-codon, and T loops). The record is from RNAcentral. Lineage: Duplodnaviria; Heunggongvirae; Uroviricota; Caudoviricetes; Stanwilliamsviridae.